UACGUAGGUGGCAAGCGUUGUCCGGAAUUAUUGGGCGUAAAGCGCGCGCAGGCGGUCCUUUAAGUCUGAUGUGAAAGCCCACGGCUCAACCGUGGAGGGUCAUUGGAAACUGGGGGACUUGAGUGCAGGAGAGAAGAGUGGAACUCCAGGUGGAGCGGUGAAAUGCGUAGAUAUCUGGAGGAAUACCGGUGGCGAAGGCGGUAUCCUGGACCGGCAUUGACGCUGACGAGCGAAAGCCAGGGGAGCAAACGGG
This 253-nucleotide ribosomal RNA is filed under the name uncultured bacterium. RNAcentral describes it as "partial 16S ribosomal RNA". It matches the Rfam family "Bacterial small subunit ribosomal RNA", at positions 524 to 776 of the family's 1533-position model. The record is from RNAcentral.